This 300-nucleotide long non-coding RNA is filed under the name Mustela putorius furo (domestic ferret). Its description in RNAcentral is "lncRNA (ENSMPUG00000029520.1)". The record is from RNAcentral. Lineage: Eukaryota; Metazoa; Chordata; Mammalia; Carnivora; Mustelidae.
CGCUCAGCUCCCAGGGAGCCAGCCAGCCAGCCUCUUUCUAAAACAAAGCCUAUCCAUCUUUCUGCCCUCCUGCGCUCUGCUGUGGUCUCGCUGUUUCUGUGUGGGAAAACGCUGAAUGGCCCUAUGGAUAAAAUGCUACCUACUGCUACUGUUGUUGCUCAUCAGGUGCCUAUGUGGCAGACUUUCAAACUGAUGUCAAUAUUUAUAUCAAGAACUUACAUCAGUUUACUAAAACUGGGUCACGCCAUCCAUGCUGCAUUGUUGACUUCUGCGUGUACACCAACGUGACUCUCAUGUCAG